Molecule: small nuclear RNA, 101 nt
Organism: Ailuropoda melanoleuca (giant panda)
Lineage: Eukaryota; Metazoa; Chordata; Mammalia; Carnivora; Ursidae
Gene: U5
Rfam family: U5 spliceosomal RNA
About the family: U5 RNA is a component of both types of known spliceosome. The precise function of this molecule is unknown, though it is known that the 5' loop is required for splice site selection and p220 binding, and that both the 3' stem-loop and the Sm site are important for Sm protein binding and cap methylation.
Source: Ensembl
AUACUCUGGUUUUUCUUCAGAUCAUUCUUUUGCCUUUUACUAAAGAAUCCUUUGGAGAGGAGCAAUUCUGAGUGUUUACCCAAUUCUUGGAGGCAAAAACC